CUAAUACCGCAUACGUCCGUACGGAAGGAAGGGGGGGAUCUUCGGACCUCUCGCUAAUAGAUGAGCCUAGGCCGGAUUAGCUAGUUGGUAGGGUAAAGGCCUACCAAGGCGACGAUCUGUAGCUGGUCUGAGAGGAUGGCCAGCCACACUGGAACUGAGACACGGUCCAGACUCCUACGGGAGGCAGCAGUGGGGAAUAUUGGACAAUGGGGGCAACCCUGAUCCAGCCAUGCCGCGUGUGUGAAGAAGGCCUUCGGGUUGUAAAGCACUUUAAGCGAGGAGGAAGGUUUUGGUUUAAUACACUAAAGAAUUGACGUUACUCGCAGAAUAAGCACCGGCUAACUCUGUG
RNAcentral lists this ribosomal RNA (349 nucleotides) under uncultured bacterium. RNAcentral describes it as "bacterial SSU rRNA". It matches the Rfam family "Bacterial small subunit ribosomal RNA", at positions 163 to 507 of the family's 1533-position model. The record is from RNAcentral.